This 2097-nucleotide long non-coding RNA is filed under the name Nicotiana benthamiana. RNAcentral's name for it is "long non-coding RNA (NBEN_LNC014494)". The record is from RNAcentral. Lineage: Eukaryota; Viridiplantae; Streptophyta; Magnoliopsida; Solanales; Solanaceae.
GCAAUUACUUCUUCAUUCAAUUUGUCCCUUUGCAUCUUAUUCUCCUCCAUCGACAAUGUUACAUCUUUAAUAUUAGUCCAAUCACUUUGUGAAAAGAUUUCAUCUUCUCAUUCUCAAAACCCACAUGAAUUAGGCUGUCAAAUAUAAUUCAAAAAGAACAUUUAGGUAAUAAUUACAAAACUCUAAACUUAUAGAUUUUAAAAUUACAAUGAAAUUAUUAAAAAAAAAUUGAAAAUAUGGUAACCUUAGGCCUCGAACAUUUGUAGAAUUUUCUUCCAGGGUUAUAUGGAGUGGACAAAGUGAAAAGGUUAGCUAUAAUGCCACAACGAUACCUAAUCUGUGAUGAACAGCUACCUUGCUACAUUUGUCAACCAAAACUACGAGGAGAAUGAAGAAAAGAGAAUUUUUGGAAAGAUUUCGGUCCAACCCUAAGUUCUUAGCAAUGGAGUGUAUUUUGGGGAGAAAAAAAGACAUUGGGUACGGGUCAUAUUACUAGGAGUGAAAUUGGGUUUGGGGGAUUAAAUAGCCGUUGAGUUUGGGGAUUAUAAAUUAGUGAAAGUUUGAAUUGCAGCUAACUUGGAAAAAAGAGAGGGGGUCGGCUGCCACAUCGACGAGGCAUUAGGGUUAGGGCUAAUUGCAUAAACUUUAUUAACGGUAGGGUGUGAUUGAAUGUACAGUAUAACGGGAGAAAACGUGCUUUAAAUUCCAAUAGUAUAGGGAUAAUAAUAGCCUUUUUCCUUAAAAAUUAUACCACUUCCCUGAUCUACAGUAAGUAGCAAGUUUGAAUGUGCCAUUUAUUGUUUUUUAGAAAUUUUUUGAAACUUUCUUCUCACAACGGGUACGAGAUUUUGAAAUCAAAAUUUAGCGUUUGGUCGUAAAUUUUUAAAUUUGUUUUAAAAUUCUGAUUUAGGUGAAGUUUGAUUCGAAGAUAAAAAUCUGUAUGAAUAUAAUUUUUCAAAAUAUAUUUUACUUUUUUUUGUCCAAAAAAAAAUAUGAAACCUGACUUAUACCCAUAAGUUUUAAAAACUAUCAAAAAUAUCCAAUAAUACCAAACAAACAGACUUGCUAAUCCUGCAUAUGCAGAACCUUCAUUGAUGCUAUUCAUUAUUAUUAUUAUUAUUAUUAUUAUUAUUAUUAUUUCAAACCAUAGUCUUGAACAUAUAUAAGUUUGGCAUAAAUUAUCAUUUUUAUAAUGAACUAAUUACACACUAUCUUAAGAACAUAACCUAAUAUUAUAAUAUCAAAUAUUAUAACAUAAUUACUAGCCACUAUAAUUCAUCAAACUCAAAUAAUAUUACAAGAUUCAUUGGUCCAAAAGAAAAUAAUAGUAAUUAGUCAGUGGUUAGUUGGGUCAUCCGUGAGCUUUUCUUUUUUUGUAAAAUAAAAAAGUUUGGGGUAAUUUUAAAAAAUCAAUCAGUGAUAUUUUUGGGCCACAAACAGUUCUAGAAUUAGUUCUGAAAUUUGAAAAAUUUAUUUUUAAAAUUUAUCAAAACAUAGAUAAAAUUUAUAAACAGAUAUGUUUUGCCAAAUUCCUCUUUUUAGAAAAAACUUGGCAAAAUCUAUGCCAAGACAUGUUUUUCCUCGAGGAAAGGGACAUUCAGAAUUCCAUGCAGGAAUAUAUUUUCGUGUCGCGCUAUUGCUUAUUGGCACAGAAAUAGUGGUCCAUCUUGAUUCUUUCCAAGUGGAAUUUGCAGAUAAAAGCAACUAUAAUUAGUGAAUACUUAACCCUUUACAUUUUACUAUAUGAUAUUUAUUUAAAGAAGAAUAUUAUAUUUAUUUAUAUUUUUCUAUUUUAUAUUUAACGAUAAGUUUUCGUAAUUAUACAAGUAUUACAAAAUAUUUAAAAGGCAUUAUAAAUCUCAGCAGUAUUGUAGCAAGAGACGAACUUAUGUUAGAUCAAGUAAAGGGAUCACCGGACCCGUUAACGAAAGCAAAAUUUUUGAAUAUAUAUAUGUAUAUAAAUUAAAAAGUUAUCCCUGGAUACCUUCAAAUCCUGGAUGUCCUCUGAUAACCAAGAUACUGCGAUAAUCUUUUUGAUUUCCCAAUGAACUGGCACCCAAUAAUCUGCUCUUGUGCUACAAUUUUUUUUUUAAUUUC